GUGGGGAAUAUUGGGCAAUGGGCGGAAGCCUGACCCAGCGACGCCGCGUGGGGGAAGAAGUCUUUCGGGAUGUAAACCCUUGUUGUACGGGACGAAGGAAGUGACGGUACCGUACGAGGAAGCCCCGGCAAACUACGUGCCAGCAGCCGCGGUAAUACGUAGGGGGCGAGCGUUGUCCGGAAUCACUGGGCGUAAAGCGCACGUAGGCGGGCUGUCAAGUCGGCCGUGAAAGGCACGGGCUCAACCUGUGCAUGUCGGUCGAUACUGGCGGUCUGGAGUAUGGGAGAGGGAACUGGAAUUCCCGGUGUAGCGGUGAAAUGCGUAGAUAUCAUCCAGAACACCGAUUGCGAAGGCAGGUGGCUGUACCUUAAUCGACGCUGAUGCACGAAAGCAUGGGGAGCAAACAGGAUUAGAAACCCUGGUAGUCC
Molecule: ribosomal RNA, 428 nt
Filed under: uncultured bacterium
Lineage: Bacteria
Description: partial 16S ribosomal RNA
Rfam family: Bacterial small subunit ribosomal RNA
Source: RNAcentral